GCAGAUAAAGCGUCAUUGUCUGCCCGAAAAAAUCCUGGCAUCAAUUAUACAGAACAAAUCUUCGGCGGGAGAGAAAAUGCAGGAAGGGCAGAAAAUGCGAACACAGAAAAGCACUGGAGGAAAUGCAUCAUUAGAACUCAGAUUCACAGGAACACUUAAUGUCCUCCGAUACGCAGAACCUCUGUGAUCCCGACAAGCAGCGGGUAUGGUGAGCCUGGU
Long non-coding RNA from Pseudophryne corroboree (corroboree frog), 219 nucleotides. RefSeq lists it as uncharacterized. NCBI's taxonomy places the organism in Eukaryota, Metazoa, Chordata, Amphibia, Anura, Myobatrachidae. The transcript is spliced from 3 exons. The record is from RefSeq and is a predicted model, not a curated record.